UUCGGGUCUGUGGUUGCAAGUCGAUGCCAGUCGCAGGCGAAACGAUCCACAUAAGCGGGCCAAAGCGCCCGUGAGCAUGGUGCGGCUUAGAAGUAAGUCCGGCCGGCGGGCAACCGUCGAGAGGGGCAGUAGUGGGGAGCAAAGCUUAGGAGCGAACCCUCCUGCCGGCGAGUGUGGGGGCAAAGACCAGGUCAGCCGAA
RNAcentral lists this non-coding RNA (200 nucleotides) under bovine gut metagenome. RNAcentral describes it as "raiA RNA". It matches the Rfam family "raiA RNA". The record is from RNAcentral.